RNAcentral lists this ribosomal RNA (277 nucleotides) under uncultured bacterium. RNAcentral's name for it is "partial 16S ribosomal RNA". It matches the Rfam family "Bacterial small subunit ribosomal RNA", at positions 78 to 354 of the family's 1533-position model. The record is from RNAcentral.
CGGAAGAGGGAAAGGCUUAGUGGCGGACGGGUGAGUAACGCGUGGGUAACCUGGCCCAUACAGGGGGAUAACACUUAGAAAUAGGUGCUAAUACCGCAUAACAACAGAAAGCGCAUGCUUUUUGUUUGAAAACCAAGGUGGUAUGGGAUGGACCCGCGUCUGAUUAGCUGGUUGGCGGGGUAAAGGCCCACCAAGGCGACGAUCAGUAGCCGGCCUGAGAGGGUGGACGGCCACAUUGGGACUGAGACACGGCCCAAACUCCUACGGAAGGCAGCAG